This 77-nucleotide transfer RNA is filed under the name Gammaproteobacteria bacterium. RNAcentral's name for it is "tRNA-Arg". It matches the Rfam family "tRNA". From Rfam's summary of the family: Transfer RNA (tRNA) molecules are approximately 80 nucleotides in length. The record is from RNAcentral. RNAcentral also lists the same sequence under 1 other name. Lineage: Bacteria; Pseudomonadati; Pseudomonadota; Gammaproteobacteria.
GCGGCUGUAGCUCAGCUGGAUAGAGCACUGGUCUACGAAACCAGGGGUCACAGGUUCGAAUCCUGUCAGCCGCGCCA